RNAcentral lists this ribosomal RNA (461 nucleotides) under uncultured soil bacterium. RNAcentral describes it as "bacterial SSU rRNA". It matches the Rfam family "Bacterial small subunit ribosomal RNA", at positions 26 to 521 of the family's 1533-position model. The record is from RNAcentral.
AGAACGAACGCUGGCGGCAUGCCUAACACAUGCAAGUCGAACGAGACCUUCGGGUCUAGUGGCGCACGGGUGCGUAACGCGUGGGAAUCUGCCCUUGGGUUCGGAAUAACAGUUGGAAACGACUGCUAAUACCGGAUGAUGACGUAAGUCCAAAGAUUUAUCGCCCAGGGAUGAGCCCGCGUAGGAUUAGCUAGUUGGUGAGGUAAAGGCUCACCAAGGCGACGAUCCUUAGCUGGUCUGAGAGGAUGAUCAGCCACACUGGGACUGAGACACGGCCCAGACUCCUACGGGAGGCAGCAGUGGGGAAUAUUGGACAAGUGGGCGAAAGCCUGAUCCAGCAAUGCCGCGUGAGUGAGUGAAGGCCUUAGGGUUGUAAAAGUCUUCGUUUUACCCGGGUAUGAUAAUGACGAGUACCGGGAGAAGUAAGCGUCCGGCUAACCUCCGUGCCAGCAGCCCGCGGU